RNAcentral lists this transfer RNA (74 nucleotides) under Bos taurus (domestic cattle). It matches the Rfam family "tRNA". Rfam says of the family: Transfer RNA (tRNA) molecules are approximately 80 nucleotides in length. Their secondary structure includes four short double-helical elements and three loops (D, anti-codon, and T loops). The record is from Rfam by way of RNAcentral. Lineage: Eukaryota; Metazoa; Chordata; Mammalia; Artiodactyla; Bovidae. RNAcentral also lists the same sequence under 1 other name.
UCCCUGGUGGUCCACUGGCUAAGACUCUGCACUCCUAAAGCAUGGGGCCCUGGGUUCGAUCCCUGGUCAGGGAA